GGCUAGAGAUGGCUUUAAGAUCUUCUGCUUUGCACGCUUCUUAGCUCUGCCAAGUCUCCAGAUUUUUUUUUCUUCCUAUUUUAAGUCUGGCAUUAAGCAGGCCACCCUUUGGAUCGCCCUGUCUCUCGGCCCAACUGGAAGCCUCCAAAGGAG
Molecule: long non-coding RNA, 153 nt
Filed under: Callithrix jacchus (white-tufted-ear marmoset)
Lineage: Eukaryota; Metazoa; Chordata; Mammalia; Primates; Cebidae
Description: lncRNA (ENSCJAG00000083461.1)
Source: RNAcentral